GCUGGGAGUUGUAGUUUUGCAACAGCUGGAGGCAUGCCGGUUGGGAAACACUGCUCUACAGCAUGUCACACGGUUGUACUCUACGCAGCAUCCCGGCAGAGCAGCAGUGUUAUUGUGACAACCGAUUAAGCGCAUAUUGUCAGGCACGCGUACGCAGCAUCUCCUAUCUAGACAUAAGUAUUGCCAGAGAAUCAGGAAGCAAUCAAAAUCCCCGACCGCACCGAGCGACAUUCCCAGGCUCCUUCAUAUCCACUUUCGAUAUGAUUCAAUUAGAGAAUUACUCCGCG
This is a long non-coding RNA of Hyla sarda, 287 nucleotides long. RefSeq lists it as uncharacterized. The record is from RefSeq and is a predicted model, not a curated record. Lineage: Eukaryota; Metazoa; Chordata; Amphibia; Anura; Hylidae. The transcript has 3 exons.